Molecule: ribosomal RNA, 495 nt
Filed under: uncultured bacterium
Lineage: Bacteria
Description: partial 16S ribosomal RNA
Rfam family: Bacterial small subunit ribosomal RNA
Source: RNAcentral
GAUGAACGCUGGCGGCGUGCCUAAUACAUGCAAGUAGAACGCUGAAGGAGGAGCUUGCUCUUCUGGAUGAGUUGCGAACGGGUGAGUAACGCGUAGGUAACCUGCCUGGUAGCGGGGGAUAACUAUUGGAAACGAUAGCUAAUACCGCAUGACAACAGUUAUUGCAUGAUAACUGUUUAAAAGGGGCAACUGCUCCACUACCAGAUGGACCUGCGUUGUAUUAGCUAGUUGGUGAGGUAACGGCUCACCAAGGCGACGAUACAUAGCCGACCUGAGAGGGGGAUCGGCCACACUGGGACUGUGACACGGCCCAGACUCCUUCGGGAGGCAGCCGUAGGGAAUCUUCGGCAAUGGGCGGAAGUCUGACCGAGCAACGCCGCGUGAGUGAAGAAGGUUUUCGGAUCGUAAAGCUCGGUUGUAAGAGAAGAACGAGUGUGAGAGUGGAAAGUUCACACUGUGACGGUAUCUUACCAGAAAGGGACGGCUAACUACGUG